Molecule: ribosomal RNA, 434 nt
Filed under: uncultured bacterium
Lineage: Bacteria
Description: partial 16S ribosomal RNA
Rfam family: Bacterial small subunit ribosomal RNA
Source: RNAcentral
AGCGAACGCUGGCGGCAGGCCUAACACAUGCAAGUCGAACGAACCUUUCGGGGUUAGUGGCGGACGGGUGAGUAACACGUGGGAACGUGCCUUUAGGUUCGGAAUAACUCAGGGAAACUUGUGCUAAUACCGAAUGUGCCCUUCGGGGGAAAGAUUAAUCGCCUUUAGAGCGGCCCGCGUCUGAUCAGCUAGUUGGUUGAGGUAAUGGCUCACCAAGGCGACGAUCAGUAGCUGGUCUGAGAGGAUGAUCAGCCACAUUGGGACUGAGACACGGCCCAAACUCCUACGGGAGGCAGCAGUGGGGAAUCUUGCGCAAUGGGCGAAAGCCUGACGCAGCCAUGCCGCGUGAAUGAUGAAGGUCUUAGGAUUGUAAAAUUCUUUCACCGGGGACGAUAAUGACGGUACCCGGAGAAGAAGCCCCGGCUAACUUCGUG